GUAGGUGGCAAGCGUUGUCCGGAAUUAUUGGGCGUAAGCGCGCGCAGGCGGUUCUUUAAGUCUGAUGUGAAAGCCCACGGCUCAACCGUGGAGGGUCAUUGGAAACUGGAGAACUUGAGUACAGAAGAGGAAAGCGGAAUUCCACGUGUAGCGGUGAAAUGCGUAGAGAUGUGGAGGAACACCAGUGGCGAAGGCGGCUUUCUGGUCUGUAACUGACGCUGAGGCGCGAAAGCGUGGGGGAGCAAACAGGAUUAGAUACCCUGGUAGUCCACGCCGUAAACGAUGAGUGCUAAGUGUUAGGGGGUUUCCGCCCCUUAGUGCUGCAGCUAACGCAUUAAGCACUCCGCCUGGGAGUACGGCCGCAAGGCUG
RNAcentral lists this ribosomal RNA (370 nucleotides) under uncultured organism. Its description in RNAcentral is "partial 16S ribosomal RNA". It matches the Rfam family "Bacterial small subunit ribosomal RNA", at positions 527 to 896 of the family's 1533-position model. The record is from RNAcentral.